ACGGGGGGAGCAAGCGUUGUUCGGAAUCACUGGGCGUAAAGGGCGUGUAGGCGGUCAGGUAAGUGAGAUGUGAAAUGCCUCGGCUCACCCGAGGACCGGCAUCUCAUACUGCUUGGCUUGAGUACGGGAGAGGACGUGGGAAUUCCUGGUGUAGCGGUGAAAUGCGUAGAUAUCAGGAGGAACACCUGCGGUGUAGACGGCUUACUGGACCAUAACUGACGCUGAGGCACGAAAGCGUGGGUAGCAAACAGGA
Molecule: ribosomal RNA, 253 nt
Filed under: uncultured prokaryote
Description: partial 16S ribosomal RNA
Rfam family: Bacterial small subunit ribosomal RNA
Source: RNAcentral